GUGGGGAAUAUUGGACAAUGGGCGAAAGCCUGAUCCAGCCAUGCCGCGUGUGUGAAGAAGGUCUUCGGAUUGUAAAGCACUUUAAGUUGGGAGGAAGGGCAGUAAGUUAAUACCUUGCUGUUUUGACGUUACCGACAGAAUAAGCACCGGCUAACUUCGUGCCAGCAGCCGCGGUAAUACGAAGGGUGCAAGCGUUAAUCGGAAUUACUGGGCGUAAAGCGCGUGUAGGCUGACAUGCAAGUCGGGUGUGAAAUCCCAGGGCUCAACCUUGGAACUGCACUCGAAACUGCACGUCUUGAGUACUGGAGAGGGAAGCGGAAUUCCGGGUGUAGAGGUGAAAUUCGUAGAUAUCCGGAGGAACACCAGUGGCGAAGGCGGCUUCCUGGACAGUAACUGACGCUGAGACGCGAAAGCGUGGGGAGCAAACAGGAUUAGAAACCCCAGUAGUCC
RNAcentral lists this ribosomal RNA (450 nucleotides) under uncultured bacterium. RNAcentral describes it as "partial 16S ribosomal RNA". It matches the Rfam family "Bacterial small subunit ribosomal RNA", at positions 354 to 796 of the family's 1533-position model. The record is from RNAcentral.